GUCUACAGCCGCCUGCCUGAACGCCCGAUCUCAUCUGAUCUCAGACGCUAACCAGGGUCGGGCCUGGAUAGUACUUUGAUGGGAGACCGACUGGGAAUACCGGGUGCUGUAGGCU
Molecule: ribosomal RNA, 115 nt
Filed under: Macaca fascicularis (crab-eating macaque)
Lineage: Eukaryota; Metazoa; Chordata; Mammalia; Primates; Cercopithecidae
Source: RNAcentral